GGGCAAUUAACUCAGCUGAUAGAGUGCUUCCUUGACGUGGAAGAAGUCAGGGGUUUGAGUCCCUUAUUGCCCACCA
This 76-nucleotide transfer RNA is filed under the name Ruminiclostridium sufflavum DSM 19573. RNAcentral's name for it is "tRNA-Val". It matches the Rfam family "tRNA". From Rfam's summary of the family: Transfer RNA (tRNA) molecules are approximately 80 nucleotides in length. Their secondary structure includes four short double-helical elements and three loops (D, anti-codon, and T loops). The record is from RNAcentral. Lineage: Bacteria; Bacillati; Bacillota; Clostridia; Eubacteriales; Oscillospiraceae.